RNAcentral lists this ribosomal RNA (1050 nucleotides) under Escherichia coli. RNAcentral's name for it is "bacterial SSU rRNA". It matches the Rfam family "Bacterial small subunit ribosomal RNA", at positions 279 to 1319 of the family's 1533-position model. Lineage: Bacteria; Pseudomonadati; Pseudomonadota; Gammaproteobacteria; Enterobacterales; Enterobacteriaceae. The record is from RNAcentral.
AUCCCUAGCUGGUCUGAGAGGAUGACCAGCCACACUGGAACUGAGACACGGUCCAGACUCCUACGGGAGGCAGCUAGUGGGGAAUAUUGCACAAUGGGCGCAAGCCUGAUGCAGCCAUGCCGCGUGUAUGAAGAAGGCCUUCGGGUUGUAAAGUACUUUCAGCGGGGAGGAAGGGAGUAAAGUUAAUACCUUUGCUCAUUGACGUUACCCGCAGAAGAAGCACCGGCUAACUCCGUGCCAGCUGCCGCGGUAAUACGGAGGGUGCAAGCGUUAAUCGGAAUUACUGGGCGUAAAGCGCACGCAGGCGGUUUGUUAAGUCAGAUGUGAAAUCCCGGGGCUCAACCUGGGAACUGCAUCUGAUACUGGCAAGCUUGAGUCUCGUAGAGGGGGGUAGAAUUCCAGGUGUAGCGGUGAAAUGCGUAGAGAUCUGGAGGAAUACCGGUGGCGAAGGCGGCCCCCUGGACGAAGACUGACGCUCAGGUGCGAAAGCGUGGGGAGCAAACAGGAUAAGAUACCCUGGUAGUCCACGCCGUUAAACGAUGGUCGACUUGGAGGUUGUGCCCUUGAGGCGUGGCUUCCGGAGCUAACGCGUUAAGUCGACCGCCUGGGGAGUACGGCCGCAAGGUUAAAACUCAAAUGAAUUGACGGGGGCCCGCACAAGCGGUGGAGCAUGUGGUUUAAUUCGAUGCAACGCGAAGAACCUUACCUGGUCUUGACAUCCACGGAACUUUUCAGAGAUGAGAAGGUGCCUUCGGGAACCGUGAGACAGGUGCUGCAUGGCUGUCGUCAGCUCGUGUUGUGAAAUGUUGGGUUAAGUCCCGCAACGAGCGCAACCCUUAUCCUUUGUUGCCAGCGGUCCGGCCGGGAACUCAAAGGAGACUGCCUGUGAUAAACUGGAGGAAGGUGGGGAUGACGUCAAGUCAUCAUGGCCCUUACGACCACGGCUACACACGUGCUACAAUGGCGCAUACAAAGAGAAGCGACCUCGCGAGAGCAAGCGGACCUCAUAAAGUGCGUCGUAGUCCGGAUUGGAGUCUGCAACUCGACUCC